RNAcentral lists this microRNA precursor (158 nucleotides) under Sorghum bicolor (sorghum). Its description in RNAcentral is "pre miRNA MIR2118". It matches the Rfam family "MIR2118 microRNA precursor family". The record is from Rfam by way of RNAcentral. Lineage: Eukaryota; Viridiplantae; Streptophyta; Magnoliopsida; Poales; Poaceae.
GUUGGGAAGAUGAAGAAAAAGAGUAUCUAAGGGCGUUGGGCAUGGGAACAUGGAGGAAAGAAUGAGCUAUGAUCAAUAAGGGGGAUUCAAGUUCUUUUUCUUUCCCAAUGCCUCCCAUGCCUAUUGUUCUUAGGUGUUCCUUCCUCUUCCUGGGACUU